This 22-nucleotide unclassified non-coding RNA is filed under the name Chlamydomonas reinhardtii. RNAcentral describes it as "small RNA Cre_2345". The record is from RNAcentral. Lineage: Eukaryota; Viridiplantae; Chlorophyta; Chlorophyceae; Chlamydomonadales; Chlamydomonadaceae.
UAGUAGGUUUGCCGCGGGAGCC